RNAcentral lists this ribosomal RNA (600 nucleotides) under uncultured bacterium. Its description in RNAcentral is "bacterial SSU rRNA". It matches the Rfam family "Bacterial small subunit ribosomal RNA", at positions 736 to 1339 of the family's 1533-position model. The record is from RNAcentral.
UUUACUGACGCUAAAGCUCGAAGGUGCGGGUAUCGAACAGGAUUAGAUACCCUGGUAGUCCGCACGGUAAACGAUGGAUGCCCGCUGUUUGCGAUAUACUGUGAGCGGCCAAGAGAAAUCGUUAAAGCAUCCCACCUGGGGAGUACGCCGGCAACGGUGAAACUCAAAGGAAUUGACGGGGGCCCGCACAAGCGGAGGAACAUGUGGUUUAAUUCGAUGAUACGCGAGGAACCUUACCCGGGCUUGAACUGCAGGAGAAGGAUGCAGAGAUGUUGACGCCCUUCGGGGCUCCUGUGGAGGUGCUGCAUGGUUGUCGUCAGCUCGUGCCGUGAGGUGUCGGCUUAAGUGCCAUAACGAGCGCAACCCUUUUCUUCAGUUGCCAUCAGGUGAUGCUGGGCACUCUGGAGACACUGCCACCGUAAGGUGUGAGGAAGGUGGGGAUGACGUCAAAUCAGCACGGCCCCUACGUCCGGGGCUACACACGUGUUACAAUGGGUGGUACAGAGAGUCGGUCGUCUGCAAAUGCGAUCCAAUCCUUAAAGCCAUCCUCAGUUCGGAUUGGGGUCUGCAACCCGACCCCAUGAAGCUGGAUUCGCUAGU